GGGGCCUCGCCCUCCUCAUCCUCGGGGCCUCCGCGCGUGGUCUCAGGGCCUUCAUCCCCGUCCUCCUCCUCCUCAGGGCCUCCAUCCUCAUCCUCUUCCUCCCCAUCCUCAUCCUCAGCGCCCCCACCUUCCUCCUCCUCAUCCUCAGUGCCUUCAUCCUCAGCUCCCUCCUCUUCCUCCUCCUCCUCCUCCUCAGUGCCUUCAUCCUUGUCCUCAGCGCCCCCAUCAUCCUCCUCCUCAUCUUCCUCCUCCUCACCUUCCUCAGUGCCCCCAUCUUCCUCAUCCUCAUCGUCUUCAUCCUCGUCCUCAGUGCCUCCAUCCUCAUCUUCCUCCUCCUCAUCUUCCUCCUCUUUCUCCUCAGUGCCUUCAUCCUUGUCCUCAGCGCCCCCAUCAUCAUCAUCCUCAGCAUCUCCAUCCUCAUCUUCAGUGCCUCCAUCCUCAUCUUCCUCCUCCUCCUCUUCCUCAGUGCCCCCAUCUUCCUCAUCCUCAGCGCCUCCAUCCUCAUCCUCCUCAUCCUCAUCUUCCUCCUCCUCAG
Molecule: long non-coding RNA, 535 nt
Filed under: Anser cygnoides (Swan goose)
Lineage: Eukaryota; Metazoa; Chordata; Aves; Anseriformes; Anatidae
Description: lncRNA (ENSACDG00005006811.1)
Source: RNAcentral